RNAcentral lists this ribosomal RNA (459 nucleotides) under uncultured bacterium. Its description in RNAcentral is "partial 16S ribosomal RNA". It matches the Rfam family "Bacterial small subunit ribosomal RNA", at positions 338 to 795 of the family's 1533-position model. The record is from RNAcentral.
CCUACGGGUGGCAGCAGUGAGGAAUAUUGGUCAAUGGACGAGAGUCUGAACCAGCCAAGUAGCGUGAAGGAUGACUGCCCUAUGGGUUGUAAACCUCUUUUGUCAGGGAGCAAAGUCACCCACGUGUGGGUUUUGGAGAGUACCUGAAGAAAAAGGAUCGGCUAACUCCGUGCCAGCAGCCGCGGUAAUACGGAGGAAGCGAGCGUUAACCGGAUUUAUUGGGUUGAAAGGGUGCGUAGGCGGGUUAGCAAGUCAGCGGUAAAAGCGUGGGGCUGAACUCCAUCCCGCCGUUGAAACUGGUGGUCUUGAGUGGGCGAGAAGUAUGCGGAAUGCGUGGUGUAGCGGUGAAAUGCAUAGAUAUCACGCAGAACUCCGAGUGCGAAGGCAGCAUACCGGCGCCCGACUGACGCUGAAGCACGAAAGCGUGGGUAUCGAACAGGAUUAGAUACCCUUGUAGUC